Cinara cedri is the source of this 218-nucleotide non-coding RNA. The record is from the annotation of a GenBank genome assembly. Lineage: Eukaryota; Metazoa; Arthropoda; Insecta; Hemiptera; Aphididae.
UAGACACGUAGUAUACAGUGCGUCGAUAUAUCUAAGUCUACAAAAUACACAUCUAGCUGGAGCAAACGGUUAAAGUAUUAUUUAACUGUGUAAGUUUUUCAAAAACUUUUCGUUAUCCGGCGAAUACGGUCCGUAUUUAAAGAGCACCAAAGGAGAGAUUUAACUCUCUAGAGAAAACAUCAUUAUUAGAGAAUUGCCGUGAAAAACAUCAAACAGGU